This 255-nucleotide ribosomal RNA is filed under the name uncultured bacterium. RNAcentral's name for it is "partial 16S ribosomal RNA". It matches the Rfam family "Bacterial small subunit ribosomal RNA", at positions 99 to 354 of the family's 1533-position model. The record is from RNAcentral.
CGGACGGGUGAGUAACGCGUGGAAAACCUGCCGUAUACUGGGGGAUAACACUUAGAAAUAGGUGCUAAUACCGCAUAAGCGCACAGCUUCGCAUGAAGCGGUGUGAAAAACUCUGGUGGUAUACGAUGGUUCCGCGUCUGAUUAGCUAGUUGGUGGGGUAAUGGCCUACCAAGGCAACGAUCNGUAGCCGGCCUGAGAGGGUGAACGGCCACAUUGGGACUGAGACACGGCCCAAACUCCUACGGGAGGCAGCAG